GGACGAACGCUGGCGGCGUGCUUAACACAUGCAAGUCGAACGGAAAGGCCCUGCUUUUGUGGGGUGCUCGAGUGGCGAACGGGUGAGUAACACGUGAGUAACCUGCCCUUGACUUUGGGAUAACUUCAGGAAACUGGGGCUAAUACCGGAUAGGAGCUCCUGCUGCCUGGGGGGGGUGGGAAAGUUUCGGCGGUUGGGGAUGGACUCGCGGCUGAUCAGCUUGUUGGUGGGGUAGUGGCUUACCAAGGCUUUGACGGGUAGCCGGCCUGAGAGGGUGACCGGCCACAUUGGGACUGAGAUACGGCCCAGACUCCUACGGGAGGCAGCAGUGGGGAAUAUUGCACAAUGGGCGGAAGCCUGAUGCAGAAACGCCGCGUGCGGGAUGACGGCCUUCGGGUUGUAAACCGCUUUCGCCUGUGACGAAGCGUGAGUGACGGUAAUGGGUAAAGAAGCACCGGCUAACUACGUG
Molecule: ribosomal RNA, 469 nt
Filed under: uncultured bacterium
Lineage: Bacteria
Description: partial 16S ribosomal RNA
Rfam family: Bacterial small subunit ribosomal RNA
Source: RNAcentral